Molecule: transfer RNA, 73 nt
Filed under: Candidatus Levyibacteriota bacterium
Lineage: Bacteria; Candidatus Levyibacteriota
Description: tRNA-Arg
Rfam family: tRNA
About the family: Transfer RNA (tRNA) molecules are approximately 80 nucleotides in length. Their secondary structure includes four short double-helical elements and three loops (D, anti-codon, and T loops).
Source: RNAcentral
GACUCCGUAGCUCAAUGGAUUGAGCAGUCCCGUCCUAAGGGAAAGAUUGCGAGUUCGACUCUCGCCGGGGUCA